RNAcentral lists this ribosomal RNA (305 nucleotides) under uncultured bacterium. RNAcentral's name for it is "bacterial SSU rRNA". It matches the Rfam family "Bacterial small subunit ribosomal RNA", at positions 337 to 634 of the family's 1533-position model. The record is from RNAcentral.
UCCUACGGGGGGCAGCAGUAGGGAAUCUUCCCCAAUGGGCGAAAGCCUGAUGGAGCAACGCCGCGUGGGUGAAGAAGGUCUUCGGAUCGUAAAACCCUGUUGUUAGAGAAGAAAGUGCGUGAGAGUAACUGUUCACGUUUCGACGGUAUCUAACCAGAAGGCCACGGCUAACUACGUGCCAGCAGCCGCGGUAAUACGUAGGUGGAAAGCGUUAUCCGGAUUUAUUGGGCGUAAAGGGAACGCAGGCGGUCUUUUAAGUCUGAUGUGAAAGCCUUGGGCUUAACCGGAGUAGUGCAUUGGAAACG